GUAGGUGGCAAGCGUUGUCCGGAAUUAUUGGGCGUAAAGCGCGCGCAGGCGUUCUUUAAGUCUGAUGUGAAAGCCCACGGCUCAACCGUGGAGGGUCAUUGGAAACUGGAGAACUUGAGUACAGAAGAGGAAAGCGGAAUUCCACGUGUAGCGGUGAAAUGCGUAGAGAUGUGGAGGAACACCAGUGGCGAAGGCGGCUUUCUGGUCUGUAACUGACGCUGAGGCGCGAAAGCGUGGGGAGCAAACAGGAUUAGAUACCCUGGUAGUCCACGCCGUAAACGAUGAGUGCUAAGUGUUAGGGGGGUAUCCGCCCCUUAGUGCUGCAGCUAACGCAUUAAGCACUCCGCCUGGGAGUACGGCCGCAAGGCUG
This 370-nucleotide ribosomal RNA is filed under the name uncultured organism. Its description in RNAcentral is "partial 16S ribosomal RNA". It matches the Rfam family "Bacterial small subunit ribosomal RNA", at positions 527 to 896 of the family's 1533-position model. The record is from RNAcentral.